RNAcentral lists this ribosomal RNA (478 nucleotides) under uncultured Acholeplasma sp. RNAcentral's name for it is "bacterial SSU rRNA". It matches the Rfam family "Bacterial small subunit ribosomal RNA", at positions 903 to 1382 of the family's 1533-position model. The record is from RNAcentral. Lineage: Bacteria; Bacillati; Mycoplasmatota; Mollicutes; Acholeplasmatales; Acholeplasmataceae.
CUACAAAGGAAUUGACGGGACCCCGCACAAGCGGUGGAUCAUGUUGUUUAAUUCGACGAUACGCGAAGAACCUUACCAGGUCUUGACAUCCCCUGCAAAGCUAUGGAGACAUAGUGGAGGUUAUCAGGGAGACAGGUGGUGCAUGGUUGUCGUCAGCUCGUGUCGUGAGAUGUUGGGUUAAGUCCCGCAACGAGCGCAACCCUUAUUGCUAGUUACCAUCAUUAAGUUGGGGACUCUAGCGAGACUGCCAGUGAUAAACUGGAGGAAGGUGGGGAUGACGUCAAAUCAUCAUGCCCCUUAUGACCUGGGCUACAAACGUGAUACAAUGGCUGAAACAAAGGGCAGCGAAGGAGCGAUCUGGAGCGAAACCCAAAAAAGCAGUCUCAGUUCGGAUUGAAGUCUGCAACUCGACUUCAUGAAGUCGGAAUCGCUAGUAAUCGCGGAUCAGAACGCCGCGGUGAAUACGUUCUCGGGGUUU